This 111-nucleotide ribosomal RNA is filed under the name Enterococcus faecium. RNAcentral's name for it is "partial 23S ribosomal RNA". It matches the Rfam family "Bacterial large subunit ribosomal RNA", at positions 2815 to 2925 of the family's 2925-position model. The record is from RNAcentral. Lineage: Bacteria; Bacillati; Bacillota; Bacilli; Lactobacillales; Enterococcaceae.
UUUGUUUAGGGAAGUAAGAUCCCUGGACGAUGAUCAGGUAGAAAGGUCAGGAGUGGAAGUACAAGGAUGUAUGGAGCGGACUGAUACUAAUCGAUCGAGGACUUAACCAAU